RNAcentral lists this long non-coding RNA (371 nucleotides) under Hordeum vulgare. RNAcentral's name for it is "long non-coding RNA (HVUL_LNC002525)". The record is from RNAcentral. Lineage: Eukaryota; Viridiplantae; Streptophyta; Magnoliopsida; Poales; Poaceae.
GACUACCAUCCUUUUCUUUGGCUAAGCCGGGUAGGGGCAACACUGAGUUUGUUGUGGUCUUGUAGAUGUGUUGAUAUGUGUUAUAUCUCGUUAUUGGUUAAUUUUCCUUUCACUUAGUUUCAACAAGUGAAUGUUCCCUCUCAGUUCCCCCACAAUUUUAAAAUUGGCAAUAUACAUAUAGGAAGAAAAAGACUCGAUCUUUUCCCCUCCUCCCAGCCUCACCGGCGCCGGCGAGUCGCCCACCGGAUCCAGCCGCCAUGGAGUCCGGAGCGCCUCACGCGUUGCCCUGCCCCGUCGACGACGACGACGAUUUCUACUGGGACGCCGAGGCCGAGGCGGAGCUCCAGGCCAUCGAGGCCGCCCACGNNNNN